AGAGUUUGAUCCUGGCUCAGGAUGAACGCUAGCGGCAGGCUUAACACAUGCAAGUCGAGGGGUAACAUAAGAGUGCUUGCACUUUUGAUGACGACCGGCGCACGGGUGCGUAACGCGUAUACAAUCUGCCUCAUACUGAGGGAUAGCCCAGAGAAAUUUGGAUUAAUACCUCAUAGUAUUGUUUUAAGGCAUCUUUUAACAAUUAAAGGUUACGGUAUGAGAUGAGUAUGCGUCCUAUUAGCUAGUUGGUGUGGUAACGGCACACCAAGGCGACGAUAGGUAGGGGCCCUGGAGAGGGGGAACCCCCCCACUUGUGGUAUUGAGACCGGGACCAUAUAUCCUGGGGGGAGCCCCCAGUGAAGAAUUUUGGACAAGGGGGGUAAUUUUUUAUCCCCCCUCUGCCGGGUGGAAGAAAGACUCCCCUUAGGGGUUAAAAACUGCUUUUAAGGGGGAAAACACCUCUCUUACGUGUAGAGACUUGGCGGUCCCGUAAGAAUAAGCUUGGGAAAAUUCCGUGCCAGCAGCCGCGGUAAUACGGAGGAUGCAAGCGUUAUCCGGAAUCAUUGGGUUUAAAGGGUCCGUAGGCGGAUUAAUAAGUCAGAGGUGAAAUCCUGCAGCUUAACUGUAGAACUGCCUUUGAUACUGUUAGUCUUGAGUUAUUGUGAAGCGGUUAGAAUAUGUAGUGUAGCGGUGAAAUGCAUAGAUAUUACAUAGAAUACCAAUUGCGAAGGCAGAUCGCUAACAAUAUACUGACGCUGAUGGACGAAAGCGUGGGGAGCGAACGGGAUUAGAUACCCCGGUAGUCCACGCCGUAAACGAUGGUCACUAGCUGUUCGGUUUCGACUGAGUGGCUAAGCGAAAGUGAUAAGUGACCCACCUGGGGAGUACGUUCGCAAGAAUGAAACUCAAAGGAAUUGACGGGGGCCCGCACAAGCGGUGGAGCAUGUGGUUUAAUUCGAUGAUACGCGAGGAACCUUACCAGGGCUUAAAUGUAGAGUGACAGGUCUAGAGAUAGACUUUUCUUCGGACACUUUACAAGGUGCUGCAUGGUUGUCGUCAGCUCGUGCCGUGAGGUGUCAGGUUAAGUCCUAUAACGAGCGCAACCCCUGUCGUUAGUUGCCAUCAGGUCAUGCUGGGAACUCUAACGAGACUGCCGGUGCAAACCGAGAGGAAGGUGGGGAUGACGUCAAAUCAUCACGGCCCUUACGUCCU
This 1212-nucleotide ribosomal RNA is filed under the name uncultured bacterium. RNAcentral's name for it is "bacterial SSU rRNA". It matches the Rfam family "Bacterial small subunit ribosomal RNA", at positions 8 to 1210 of the family's 1533-position model. The record is from RNAcentral.